AUUGAACGCUGGCGGCAUGCUUUACACAUGCAAGUCGAACGGCAGCGGGGGCUUCGGCCUGCCGGCGAGUGGCGAACGGGUGAGUAAUGCAUCGGAACGUGCCCAGUCAUGGGGGAUAACUACGCGAAAGCGUAGCUAAUACCGCAUACGCCCUGAGGGGGAAAGUGGGGGAUCUUCGGACCUCACGUGAUUGGAGCGGCCGAUGUCAGAUUAGCUAGUUGGUGAGGUAAAGGCUCACCAAGGCGACGAUCUGUAGCGGGUCUGAGAGGAUGAUCCGCCACACUGGGACUGAGACACGGCCCAGACUCCUACGGGAGGCAGCAGUGGGGAAUUUUGGACAAUGGGCGCAAGCCUGAUCCAGCCAUGCCGCGUGAGUGAAGAAGGCCU
This 387-nucleotide ribosomal RNA is filed under the name uncultured bacterium. Its description in RNAcentral is "bacterial SSU rRNA". It matches the Rfam family "Bacterial small subunit ribosomal RNA", at positions 29 to 417 of the family's 1533-position model. The record is from RNAcentral.